AACGAACGCUGGCGGCAGGCCUCAAACAUGCAAGUCUAGGGGGUGUAGCAAUACAUCACCGGCGGACGGGUGCGUAACGCGUGGGAAUAUACCUAUCGAUUCGGAACAACUGAGGGAAACUUCAGCUAAUACCGAAUACGUCCUAACGGAGAAAGAUUUAUCGUCGAUAGAUUAGCCCGCGUUCGAUUAGCUAGUUGGUGGGUAACGGCCCACCAAGGCGACGAUCGAUAGCUGUUCUGAGAGGAAGAUCAGCCACACUGGGACUGAGACACGGCCCAGACUCCUACGGGAGGCAGCAGUUGGGAAUCUUGGACAAUGGGGGAAACCCUGAUCCAGCCAUGCCGCGUGAGUGAUGAAGGCCUUCGGGUUGGUAAAACUCUUUCGCGCACGACGAUAAUGACGGUAGUGCGAGAAGAAGCUCCGGCUAACUUCGUGCCAGCAGCCGCGGUAAU
RNAcentral lists this ribosomal RNA (452 nucleotides) under uncultured bacterium. RNAcentral describes it as "bacterial SSU rRNA". It matches the Rfam family "Bacterial small subunit ribosomal RNA", at positions 29 to 524 of the family's 1533-position model. The record is from RNAcentral.